GACGAACCGUGCGAACGUUGUUCGGAUUCACUGGGCUUAAAGGGCGCGUAGGCGGGCAUCCAAGUCAGGGGUGAAAUCUUUCGGCCCAACCGGAAAAGUGCCUUUGAUACUGGGUGUCUCGAGUGAGGUAGGGGCAUGUGGAACUUCCGGUGGAGCGGUGAAAUGCGUAGAUAUCGGAAGGAACGCCGGUGGCGAAAGCGACGUGCUGGACCUCAACUGACGCUGAGGCGCGAAAGCCAGGGGAGCAAACGGG
RNAcentral lists this ribosomal RNA (253 nucleotides) under uncultured bacterium. Its description in RNAcentral is "partial 16S ribosomal RNA". It matches the Rfam family "Bacterial small subunit ribosomal RNA", at positions 524 to 776 of the family's 1533-position model. The record is from RNAcentral.